RNAcentral lists this microRNA (24 nucleotides) under Oreochromis niloticus (Nile tilapia). RNAcentral's name for it is "oni-miR-10825". Lineage: Eukaryota; Metazoa; Chordata; Actinopteri; Cichliformes; Cichlidae. The record is from miRBase by way of RNAcentral.
UAGCUGACCUCUGUCCAAUUGACC